GACGAACGCUGGCGGCGUGCUUAACACAUGCAGUUGAACGGAAAGGCCCCUUUGGGGGUACUCGAGUGGCGAACGGGUGAGUUACACGUGAGUAACCUGCCCUUGACUUCCGGAUAACCUCAGGAAACUGGGGCUAAUACCGGAUAGGAAUCCUUGCUGCAUGGUGGGGGUUGGAAAGCUUCGGCGGUUUUGGAUGGACUCGCGGCUUAUCAGCUUGUUGGUGGGGUAGUGGCUUACCAAGGCUUUGACGGGUAGCCGGCCUGAGAGGGCGACCGGCCACAUUGGGACUGAGAUACGGCCCAGACUCCUACGGGAGGCAGCAGUGGGGAAUAUUGCACAAUGGGCGGAAGCCUGAUGCAGCAACGCCGCGUGCGGGAGGACGGCCUUCGGGUUGUAAACCGCUUUCAGCAGGGGCGAAGCUUGUGGUGACGGUACCUGCAGAAGAAGCACCGGCUAACUACGUG
RNAcentral lists this ribosomal RNA (464 nucleotides) under uncultured bacterium. Its description in RNAcentral is "partial 16S ribosomal RNA". It matches the Rfam family "Bacterial small subunit ribosomal RNA", at positions 28 to 507 of the family's 1533-position model. The record is from RNAcentral.